CCUACGGGAGGCAGCAGUGGGGGAUAUUGCACAAUGGGGGAAACCCUGAUGCAGCGACGCCGCGUGGGUGAAGAAGCGCCUCGGCGCGUAAAGCCCUGUCAGCAGGGAAGAAAAUGACGGUAACUGAAGAAGAAGCCCCGGCUAACUACGUGCCAGCAGCCGCGGUAAUACGUAGGGGGCAAGCGUUAACCGGAUUUACUGGGUGUAAAGGGGGCGCAGACGGCGAUGCAAGCCAGGGGUGAAAGCCCGGGGCCCAACCCCGGGACUGCUCUUGGAACUGCGUGGCUAGAGUGCAGGAGGGGCAGGCGGAAUUCCGGGUGUAGCGGUGAAAUGCGUAGAUAUCAGGAGGAACACCGGUGGCGAAGGCGGCCUGCUGGACUGCAACUGACGUUGAGGCCCGAAAGCGUGGGGAGCAAACAGGAUUAGAUACCCUGUAGUC
RNAcentral lists this ribosomal RNA (439 nucleotides) under uncultured bacterium. RNAcentral describes it as "partial 16S ribosomal RNA". It matches the Rfam family "Bacterial small subunit ribosomal RNA", at positions 338 to 795 of the family's 1533-position model. The record is from RNAcentral.